CCUAAAAUCACAGCCAAUAUUGGGCUUUAUCUGACAAAAGCAAUUAUAUCUCACAGACAAGAAAUUGGAGAAAUGCAAGAUCGGCUACAGAAGGCAGAGCUCAACUUCAAACUCAAGGUCGCAGCUCAUGAGAGAAGUGCUCUAGAUAAUUGGGUGAAGGCUCGGUUUUG
Non-coding RNA from Callorhinus ursinus (northern fur seal), 170 nucleotides. The record is from RefSeq and is a predicted model, not a curated record. NCBI's taxonomy places the organism in Eukaryota, Metazoa, Chordata, Mammalia, Carnivora, Otariidae.